RNAcentral lists this ribosomal RNA (479 nucleotides) under uncultured bacterium. RNAcentral describes it as "bacterial SSU rRNA". It matches the Rfam family "Bacterial small subunit ribosomal RNA", at positions 30 to 501 of the family's 1533-position model. The record is from RNAcentral.
AUUGAACGCUGGCGGAAUGCUUUACACAUGCAAGUCGAACGGCAGCACGGACUUCGGUCUGGUGGCGAGUGGCGAACGGGUGAGUAAUAUAUCGGAACGUGCCCAGUCGUGGGGGAUAACGUAGUGAAAAUUACGCUAAUACCGCAUACGAUCUAAGGAUGAAAGCGGGGGAUCGCAAGACCUCGCGCGAUUGGAGCGGCCGAUAUCAGAUUAGGUAGUUGGUGAGGUAAAGGCUCACCAAGCCAACGAUCUGUAGCUGGUCUGAGAGGACGACCAGCCACACUGGGACUGAGACACGGCCCAGACUCCUACGGGAGGCAGCAGUGGGGAAUAUUGGACAAUGGGCGAAAGCCUGAUCCAGCAAUGCCGCGUGAGUGAAGAAGGCCUCGGUUGUAAAGCUCUUUCAGGUGGAAAGGAAAUACGCACUUUCUAAUACAAGGUGUGGAUGACGGUACCGAUCAGAAGAAGCACCGGCUAAC